RNAcentral lists this ribosomal RNA (300 nucleotides) under uncultured Enterococcus sp. Its description in RNAcentral is "bacterial SSU rRNA". It matches the Rfam family "Bacterial small subunit ribosomal RNA", at positions 496 to 795 of the family's 1533-position model. The record is from RNAcentral. Lineage: Bacteria; Bacillati; Bacillota; Bacilli; Lactobacillales; Enterococcaceae.
GUGAGCUGCAGGGCGGCUGCGGCGGUAUGACGUAGGGUGCUCGCGGUGGCCGUAGAGCUUGGGCGGAAAGGUGGGGUAGGCGGACCGGUAAGUCCGGUGGGAAAGGCGGGGGCUAAACCCUCGAAAGCCGGUGGAUACUGUCGGGCGAGAGUACGGAAGAGGCGAGUGGAAUUCCUGGUGGAGCGGUGAAAUGCGCAGAUAUCAGGAGGAACACCGAUUGCGAAGGCAGCUCGCUGGGACGUUACUGACGCUGAGACGCGAAAGCGUGGGGAGCAAACAGGAUUAGAUACCCCAGUAGUC